RNAcentral lists this long non-coding RNA (467 nucleotides) under Medicago truncatula (barrel medic). Its description in RNAcentral is "long non-coding RNA (MTRU_LNC007017)". Lineage: Eukaryota; Viridiplantae; Streptophyta; Magnoliopsida; Fabales; Fabaceae. The record is from RNAcentral.
UCCUAUUGUUUUUGACGAAAAUGUCAAUGUGAUUUUCAGAUUCGAUAAUAUGAAAUGAGUUUUCCCACUGUUUUGGGUGGGGAAAAAAAUGAAUUUUUCAUCAAUUUGGAUUUUAAAAACCAAACACCUCAAAAAAUUAGGGGUUUUCCUUGCUUUUUCCGGAUUAUAAAAUCCAAACCCCUUCUAAACACCUAUCGUGUGCCAAGAAUUAAGGGGAAAAACAUUUUGGAUUAUAUAUUCUGAACCGUAUCAUCACAAAUAUUGAGCUUGUUUGUAACAUGGAUAGCCAUUUUAUGGAACAUAUUAUUCAUCCUAACCCCAUCCUUGUGUUUUAGAUCAUUGUUAGUUGCUCCUGUCGUGUCUCGGUCGAAAAUCUAGUUUUCGGACUACUUGAUUAGAUUGCUCUAAACUUUCCCAGAAAAAAAAAUUGCAUUAGUUUUAUUUGAUUUUUAAAUUUUUUUUGGUGG